CAGUCGCCGCGGGAAUACGGAGGGCGCGAGCGUUACCCGGAUUUACUGGGCGUAAAGGCGUGUAGGCGGCCUGGGGCGUCCCAUGUGAAAGGCCACGGCUCAACCGUGGAGGAGCGUGGGAUACGCUCAGGCUAGAGGGUGGGAGAGGGUGGUGGAAUUCCCGGAGUAGCGGUGAAAUGCGCAGAUACCGGGAGGAACGCCGAUGGCGAAGGCAGCCACCUGGUCCACUUCUGACGCUGAGGCGCGAAAGCGUGGGGAGCAAACCGGAUUAGAUACCCGAGUAGUCCCUGUCUCUUAUACA
This 301-nucleotide ribosomal RNA is filed under the name uncultured bacterium. RNAcentral describes it as "partial 16S ribosomal RNA". It matches the Rfam family "Bacterial small subunit ribosomal RNA", at positions 509 to 808 of the family's 1533-position model. The record is from RNAcentral.